CUUUUUCAACCUUUGCUCAAGAUGCUUUCAUUGUGAUGCACUCCGCACUGAAAACAUGAUCAUCAAAAAAUAACAAAAAACACUGAAAUAUUGGAUUGUACCAAGCAACAGACAGGCCAACAUGGGAAACAUACACCACAGAGUUAAUACGGUUCUGAUCACAUAUUUGGUUAUGAAAAUGUCUGCACAUGAAUGUCUGACUCCUCAAGAAGACCAAUCAACUGUUUCAUCAGAACUUUCACUGAAAAGUACUUCAGAUGGACAAAAUGACUCACUGGGAAUUGCUGAAGUCCACUCCGGCUGGCCAAUUGUGCUCGGUGCUCUGACAGCGGUGCUUUCCAUCGGCCUCCUGAUAGCACUGGCUGUGAGAUACCGCUUCC
Long non-coding RNA from Carassius carassius (crucian carp), 380 nucleotides. RefSeq lists it as uncharacterized. Lineage: Eukaryota; Metazoa; Chordata; Actinopteri; Cypriniformes; Cyprinidae. The record is from RefSeq and is a predicted model, not a curated record. The transcript is spliced from 3 exons.